CCUACGGGCGGCAGCAGUGGGGAAUAUUGGGCAAUGGGCGCAAGCCUGACCCAGCAACGCCGCGUGAAGGAAGAAGGCUUUCGGGUUGUAAACUUCCUUUAAGAGGGAAGAGCAGAAGACGGUAUCUCUUGAAUAAGCCAUGGCUAACUACGUGCCAGCAGCCGCGGUCAUACGUAGGUGGCAAGCGGUGUCCGGAUUUACUGGGUGUAAAGGGCGGGUAGCCGGGCUGACAAGUCAGGUGUGAAAUUCCGGGGCUCAACCCCGGCCCUGCAGUUGAAACUGUUGGUCUUGAGUAUCGGGGAGGCAGGCGGAAUUCCUGGUGUAGCGGUGAAAUGCGUAGAUAUUAGGAAGAACACCAGUGGCGAAGGCGGCCUGCUGGACGACAACUGACGGUGAGGCGCGAAAGCGUGGGGAGCAAACAGGAUUAGAUACCCUGGUAGUC
This 442-nucleotide ribosomal RNA is filed under the name uncultured bacterium. RNAcentral describes it as "partial 16S ribosomal RNA". It matches the Rfam family "Bacterial small subunit ribosomal RNA", at positions 338 to 795 of the family's 1533-position model. The record is from RNAcentral.